CAAUAGCGUAUACUAAUGUUGUUGCAGUUAAAAAGCUCGUAGUUGAACUUCUGGUAGGAGUGUCCCGGCCUUUUUGUUUUUACAAAUUGUAUGCUGUGUGACAUCUCUGGCCAUCCUUCUUCUUUUUUUAAAGAAGAUCUUUCACUGUAAAAAAAUUAGGGUGUUCAAAGCAAAAGUUUCUUUGGAAUAUAUUAGUAUGGGAUGAUAAGAUAGGCUCUAGAUGCUAUUUUGUUGGUUUGCACAUUUAGAGAAUGAUUAACAGGGACAGUUGGGGGUAUUCGUAUUUACAUGUCAGAGGUGAAAUUCUUGGAUUUUGGAAAGACGAACUACUGCGAAAGCAUUUACCAAGGAUGUUUUCAUUAA
RNAcentral lists this ribosomal RNA (363 nucleotides) under uncultured eukaryote. RNAcentral's name for it is "partial 18S ribosomal RNA". It matches the Rfam family "Eukaryotic small subunit ribosomal RNA", at positions 592 to 976 of the family's 1831-position model. The record is from RNAcentral.